GGUUAAGCGACUAAGCGUACACGGUGGAUGCCCUGGCAGUCAGAGGCGAUGAAGGACGUGCUAAUCUGCGAUAAGCGUCGGUAAGGUGAUAUGAACCGUUAUAACCGGCGAUUUCCGAAUGGGGAAACCCAGUGUGAUUCGUCACACUAUCAUUAACUGAAUCCAUAGGUUAAUGAGGCGAACCGGGGGAACUGAAACAUCUAAGUACCCCGAGGAAAAGAAAUCAACCGAGAUUCCCCCAGUAGCGGCGAGCGAACGGGGAGCAGCCCAGAGCCUGAAUCAGUGUGUGUGUUAGUGGAAGCGUCUGGAAAGGCGCGCGAUACAGGGUGACAGCCCCGUACACAAAAAUGCACAUACUGUGAGCUCGAUGAGUAGGGCGGGACACGUGGUAUCCUGUCUGAAUAUGGGGGGACCAUCCUCCAAGGCUAAAUACUCCUGACUGACCGAUAGUGAACCAGUACCGUGAGGGAAAGGCGAAAAGAACCCCGGCGAGGGGAGUGAAAAAGAACCUGAAACCGUGUACGUACAAGCAGUGGGAGCCUCUUUUAUGGGGUGACUGCGUACCUUUUGUAUAAUGGGUCAGCGACUUAUAUUCUGUAGCAAGGUUAACCGAAUAGGGGAGCCGAAGGGAAACCGAGUCUUAACCGGGCGUUAAGUUGCAGGGUAUAGACCCGAAACCCGGUGAUCUAGCCAUGGGCAGGUUGAAGGUUGGGUAACACUAACUGGAGGACCGAACCGACUAAUGUUGAAAAAUUAGCGGAUGACUUGUGGCUGGGGGUGAAAGGCCAAUCAAACCGGGAGAUAGCUGGUUCUCCCCGAAAGCUAUUUAGGUAGCGCCUCGUGAAUUCAUCUCCGGGGGUAGAGCACUGUUUCGGCAAGGGGGUCAUCCCGACUUACCAACCCGAUGCAAACUGCGAAUACCGGAGAAUGUUAUCACGGGAGACACACGGCGGGUGCUAACGUCCGUCGUGAAGAGGGAAACAACCCAGACCGCCAGCUAAGGUCCCAAAGUCAUGGUUAAGUGGGAAACGAUGUGGGAAGGCCCAGACAGCCAGGAUGUUGGCUUAGAAGCAGCCAUCAUUUAAAGAAAGCGUAAUAGCUCACUGGUCGAGUCGGCCUGCGCGGAAGAUGUAACGGGGCUAAACCAUGCACCGAAGCUGCGGCAGCGACACUGUGUGUUGUUGGGUAGGGGAGCGUUCUGUAAGCCUGUGAAGGUGUACUGUGAGGUAUGCUGGAGGUAUCAGAAGUGCGAAUGCUGACAUAAGUAACGAUAAAGCGGGUGAAAAGCCCGCUCGCCGGAAGACCAAGGGUUCCUGUCCAACGUUAAUCGGGGCAGGGUGAGUCGACCCCUAAGGCGAGGCCGAAAGGCGUAGUCGAUGGGAAACAGGUUAAUAUUCCUGUACUUGGUGUUACUGCGAAGGGGGGACGGAGAAGGCUAUGUUGGCCGGGCGACGGUUGUCCCGGUUUAAGCGUGUAGGCUGGUUUUCCAGGCAAAUCCGGAAAAUCAAGGCUGAGGCGUGAUGACGAGGCACUACGGUGCUGAAGCAACAAAUGCCCUGCUUCCAGGAAAAGCCUCUAAGCAUCAGGUAACAUCAAAUCGUACCCCAAACCGACACAGGUGGUCAGGUAGAGAAUACCAAGGCGCUUGAGAGAACUCGGGUGAAGGAACUAGGCAAAAUGGUGCCGUAACUUCGGGAGAAGGCACGCUGAUAUGUAGGUGAAGUCCCUCGCGGAUGGAGCUGAAAUCAGUCGAAGAUACCAGCUGGCUGCAACUGUUUAUUAAAAACACAGCACUGUGCAAACACGAAAGUGGACGUAUACGGUGUGACGCCUGCCCGGUGCCGGAAGGUUAAUUGAUGGGGUCAGCGCAAGCGAAGCUCUUGAUCGAAGCCCCGGUAAACGGCGGCCGUAACUAUAACGGUCCUAAGGUAGCGAAAUUCCUUGUCGGGUAAGUUCCGACCUGCACGAAUGGCGUAAUGAUGGCCAGGCUGUCUCCACCCGAGACUCAGUGAAAUUGAACUCGCUGUGAAGAUGCAGUGUACCCGCGGCAAGACGGAAAGACCCCGUGAACCUUUACUAUAGCUUGACACUGAACAUUGAGCCUUGAUGUGUAGGAUAGGUGGGAGGCUUUGAAGUGUGGACGCCAGUCUGCAUGGAGCCGACCUUGAAAUACCACCCUUUAAUGUUUGAUGUUCUAACGUGGACCCGUGAUCCGGGUUGCGGACAGUGUCUGGUGGGUAGUUUGACUGGGGCGGUCUCCUCCUAAAGAGUAACGGAGGAGCACGAAGGUUGGCUAAUCCUGGUCGGACAUCAGGAGGUUAGUGCAAUGGCAUAAGCCAGCUUGACUGCGAGCGUGACGGCGCGAGCAGGUGCGAAAAGCAGGUCAUAGUGAUCCGGUGGUUCUGAAUGGAAGGGCCAUCGCUCAACGGAUAAAAGGUACUCCGGGGAUAACAGGCUGAUACCGCCCAAGAGUUCAUAUCGACGGCGGUGUUUGGCACCUCGAUGUCGGCUCAUCACAUCCUCGGGGCUGAAGUAGGUCCCAAGGGUAUGGCUGUUCGCCAUUUAAAGUGGUACGCGAGCUGGGUUUAGAACGUCGUGAGACAGUUCGGUCCCUAUCUGCCGUGGGCGCUGGAGAACUGAGGGGGGCUGCUCCUAGUACGAGAGGACCGGAGUGGACGCAUCACUGGUGUUCGGGUUGUCAUGCCAAUGGCACUGCCCGGUAGCUAAAUGCGGAAGAGAUAAGUGCUGAAAGCAUCUAAGCACGAAACUUGCCCCGAGAUGAGUUCUCCCUGACCCUUUAAGGGUCCUGAAGGAACGUUGAAGACGACGACGUUGAUAGGCCGGGUGUGUAAGCGCAGCGAUGCGUUGAGCUAACCGGUACUAAUGAACCGUGAGGCUUAACCUU
RNAcentral lists this ribosomal RNA (2905 nucleotides) under Escherichia coli. RNAcentral describes it as "23S ribosomal RNA". It matches the Rfam family "Bacterial large subunit ribosomal RNA". Lineage: Bacteria; Pseudomonadati; Pseudomonadota; Gammaproteobacteria; Enterobacterales; Enterobacteriaceae. The record is from RNAcentral.